This 276-nucleotide ribosomal RNA is filed under the name Diaporthe sp. GUf-5. RNAcentral's name for it is "partial 28S ribosomal RNA". It matches the Rfam family "Eukaryotic large subunit ribosomal RNA", at positions 1 to 282 of the family's 3401-position model. The record is from RNAcentral. Lineage: Eukaryota; Fungi; Ascomycota; Sordariomycetes; Diaporthales; Diaporthaceae.
GACCUCGGAUCAGGUAGGAAUACCCGCUGAACUUAAGCAUAUCAAUAAGCGGAGGAAAAGAAACCAACAGGGAUUGCCCUAGUAACGGCGAGUGAAGCGGCAACAGCUCAAAUUUGAAAUCAUGCCUCGGCCCGAGUUGUAAUUUGCAGAGGAUGCUUCUGGCCGGGUGCCUUCCGAGUUCCCUGGAACGGGACGCCACAGAGGGUGAGAGCCCCGUAUGGUCGGGACACCAAGCCUGUGUGAAGCUCCUUCGACGAGUCGAGUAGGUUGGGUAAU